This 897-nucleotide ribosomal RNA is filed under the name uncultured bacterium. Its description in RNAcentral is "bacterial SSU rRNA". It matches the Rfam family "Bacterial small subunit ribosomal RNA", at positions 8 to 916 of the family's 1533-position model. The record is from RNAcentral.
AGAGUUUGAUUAUGGCUCAGGAUGAACGCUGGCGGCGUGCCUAACACAUGCAAGUCGAACGAGGCCCUCACCUUCGGGUGGGGUGUCCUAGUGGCGGACGGGUGAGUAACACGUUGGUGACCUGCCCCAAAGCGGGGGACAACCCUGGGAAACCGGGGCUAAUACCCCAUGUGAUCCAGAGCGUUAGAGGGCUUUGGAUGAAAGGAGCAAUCCACUUUGGGAGGGGCCUGCGGCCUAUCAGCUAGUUGGUGGGGUAAUGGCCUACCAAGGCGACGACGGGUAGGGGGCCUGAGAGGGUGGCCCCCCACACUGGAACUGAAACACGGACCAGACACCUACGGGUGGCAGCAGUGGGGAAUAUUGCACAAUGGGCGAAAGCCUGAUGCAGCAACGCCGCGUGCGCGAUGAAGGCCUUCGGGUUGUAAAGCGCUUUUCUGGGGGAAGAGUAAGGACGGUACCCCAGGAAUAAGUCUCGGCUAACUACGUGCCAGCAGCCGCGGUAAAACGUAGGAGGCAAGCGUUAUCCGGAUUUACUGGGCGUAAAGCGCGUGCAGGCGGCUUGGUAAGUCGGACGUGAAAGCUCCCGGCUCAACUGGGAGAGGCCGUUCGAAACUACCAGGCUAGAGGGCAGCAGAGGGAGGUGGAAUUCCGGGUGUAGCGGUGAAAUGCGUAGAUAUCCGGAGGAACACCAGUGGCGAAAGCGGCCUCCUGGACUGUCCCUGACGCUAAGACGCGAAAGCUAGGGGAGCGAACGGGAUUAGAAACCCCGGUAGUCCUAGCUGUAAACGAUGCAGACUUGGUGUUGGUGGUUUAAAACCCAUCAGUGCCGCAGCUAACGCGAUAAGUCUGCCGCCUGGGGACUACGAUCGCAAGGUUAAAACUCAAAGGAAUUGACGG